UCAAUUUGANAUCUGGCUUCGGCCCGAGUUGUAAUUUGCAGAGGAUGUUUAUGGUGCGGUACCUUCCNAGUUCCCUGGAACGGGACGCCACAGAGGGUGAGAGCCCCGUCUGGUUGGAUACCAAACCUGUGUUAAACUCCUUCAACGAGUCGAGUAGUUUGGGAAUGCUGCUCUAAAUGGGAGGUAAAUCUCUUCUAAAGCUAAAUACCGGCCAGAGACCGAUAGCGCACAAGUAGAGUGAUCGAAAGAUGAAAAGCACCUUGAAAAGGGGGUUAAACAGUACGUGAAAUUGUUAAAAGGGAAGCGUUUAUGACCAGACUUGUGCCGUGUGGCUCAUCCGGGGUUCUCCCCGGUGCACUCCACACGGUUCANGCCAACAUCGGUUUUCGUUGGGGGAUNAAAACGGUAAGAACGUGGCCCNUUUCCGAGGGUGUUAUAAGCCUACCGUACNAUACCCUGAACGGGGACCNAGGACCCCNCCUCCGCUAANAAGUUGGCGUANNGGCAUUUCCACCCC
This 517-nucleotide ribosomal RNA is filed under the name Gnomonia sp. 11Bg1. RNAcentral's name for it is "partial 28S ribosomal RNA". It matches the Rfam family "Eukaryotic large subunit ribosomal RNA", at positions 109 to 650 of the family's 3401-position model. The record is from RNAcentral. Lineage: Eukaryota; Fungi; Ascomycota; Sordariomycetes; Diaporthales; Gnomoniaceae.